UACGGAGGGUGCAAGCGUUAUCCGGAAUCAUUGGGCGUAAAGCGUCCGCAGGCUGUCUAGUAAGUUAUGCAUGAAAGACAACAGCUCAACUGUUGGAACGUGUGUAAUACUGCUAGACUAGAGUGUUGGAGAGGUAAGCAGAAUUCUGCAUGUAGGGGUAAAAUCCGUAGAUAUGCAGAGGAAUACCAAAAGCGAAGGCAGCUUACUGGCCAAUCACUGACGCUCAUGGACGAAAGCGUAGGGAGCAAACAGG
Molecule: ribosomal RNA, 253 nt
Filed under: uncultured bacterium
Lineage: Bacteria
Description: partial 16S ribosomal RNA
Rfam family: Bacterial small subunit ribosomal RNA
Source: RNAcentral